This 192-nucleotide non-coding RNA is filed under the name Acetobacterium wieringae. Lineage: Bacteria; Bacillati; Bacillota; Clostridia; Eubacteriales; Eubacteriaceae. The record is from RNAcentral.
UUAAAUAUUAAUAAAACAGGUGCCGGCAGUAACGAAGGGUUACAGGCCGGUGAAAAGGGAAGAGGGGUGAAAGUCCCCCGCGGUCCCGCCGCUGUAAAAGAAGAGUUCCUCCAGGAAUGCCACCAGAAAUGGGAAGGCAGGAGGUAAUGUUGACGCUUGAGCCAGAAGACCUGCCUGCUUUAAUUACUCAGA